AACGUAUCGCACUGAGACGCGACACAACUACCACAGUGGUCCAUGUGAGAGGUGGUUAUGUGUAACCACGAAGGACCGCAAGAACGCGCCAUACGUGAACACCUAAGCUGUGUAUUAAACUGCACAUUUACGAAUGAAUGGGAAAUCCUUGGACAUGACAACGACAAGACUGUGAUUCUGGACAAAUACAAAGGACUGUGGAUGGAGUGCUGUGGACAGUUCGUCUCACGUGCGCUGCACAAGUUACAGUUCUCUUCUUCACCAGACCUUUGAAAUCCGGGUGGGCCGAGCAAUCAUGAUCGCCAGCAUCGUCUUUUCAAGCCUCGCCGCGCUGGUGGCCAUUUCUGGUCUCAGAUGUACAAGAUGUUUAGAAGAGAACGAGAAGUCGAAGGAUAGAGCUGCCUUCUUAGGAGGAAUCCUUUCUGUGUGCGGUGGUCUUCUUGCUUUGGGCAUAACCAGCUGGUUUAUAUAUGGAAUUGUUGAAGAUUUCUUUCAGAAUGACACAGAGACGGAGAGGUAGG
RNAcentral lists this long non-coding RNA (521 nucleotides) under Sinocyclocheilus anshuiensis. Its description in RNAcentral is "lncRNA (ENSSANG00000048629.1)". Lineage: Eukaryota; Metazoa; Chordata; Actinopteri; Cypriniformes; Cyprinidae. The record is from RNAcentral.